AGAGUCCGAUUUCUGCAACCACGCCUUUCCCAUCCCUUCCUUCUCUCCUCCCAUCACAAAUGUCAAGCUUCCCAGUGUCUCCAGAGAGAAGCCAACCUCCCUGGCACUUUUUCUGGUCAUCCUUGGAACCCCUCAGUGAAUGACAGCAUAUGACCUUGUUAAAUCUGCAAAAAUCUUUUCCUUCUAAAUAAGCAGCCUGAGGCCCGCACCAGAUGCAGCUGUCCCAGAAUCAGCUGAGCGAUCACCUGGAGGCCUCUUGUCCAGAACACUUGUGGUGAAAGAGCAGGCGGUUAUGACAGAGCACAAGCCACAGCUCCAACACUGGCCCUUCCUGCUGAAGCUGCCACCAUUUAAUGAAAGUCUCUGGCCUGGCAUGCCACUGCUGCUCCUGAAGCAAGGCCACCCCUCGUGCCUGAAACCCCUCGUUCAGCCCUGGGAGAGCUGGCCGCUGCCUCCUGAGCUGGCAGACCUCCGCGGAGCUGCAGGUCCCUGGCAGGGCAGACUUCGUUUCCUCCACUUCUGUCCUUCUAUUAGAAUCUCAUGCUCUGUGGCUCUAGAUGACUCUUUUGGAGGCAGUAGCCCCUAAAAGUGAGGGUCCUAAGGGUCCCUCCUACCCUUCCCUUCCCCCUGCUCCCCUACUGCCUCUGUGUAUUGUGGGGAAUAAACGCAGGAACGUGAAGCAUCACAGGGCACUUUGGGCUUGGAGGACCAAAUCACCCCUUGCCGACCUCAAAUCCUUGGAACACAAGGAUGAGACAGAAGAGUUGGGAAGAUCUUUCCCUCUUCCGCCCUUUUCUGUGGCUUCUCACUUCAUCAAUCCAGCAGUCCCUCCUAGGAAGGAGAUCACAUGGCUCGGUCUUCCUGGGAAGAUCACAUCCUGGUGCAGGGAGGAGUCCUCUAAGGAGAUGUGCUGUGUGGUCACUCGAUGCUGGCUCCCAAGCAUCGGCUGGUCCUGCUGUCUCCCCUGGAUGUCCUGACACAGACCCUCAGACGUGGCAGGGCCAGAUCCUGUGCUGAGCUCUCUGGAGACUUCCAAAGGGACAUCGAGAUUUAAUAAAAUUCUUCCUUUAAAGUUGUUUUCAA
This is a long non-coding RNA of Cynocephalus volans (Philippine flying lemur), 1083 nucleotides long. RefSeq lists it as uncharacterized. NCBI's taxonomy places the organism in Eukaryota, Metazoa, Chordata, Mammalia, Dermoptera, Cynocephalidae. The transcript is spliced from 5 exons. The record is from RefSeq and is a predicted model, not a curated record.